This 1910-nucleotide ribosomal RNA is filed under the name Campylobacter jejuni. RNAcentral's name for it is "partial 23S ribosomal RNA". It matches the Rfam family "Bacterial large subunit ribosomal RNA", at positions 1 to 1872 of the family's 2925-position model. Lineage: Bacteria; Pseudomonadati; Campylobacterota; Epsilonproteobacteria; Campylobacterales; Campylobacteraceae. The record is from RNAcentral.
AGGUAAGCUACUAAGAGCGAAUGGUGGAUGCCUUGACUGGUAAAGGCGAUGAAGGACGUACUAGACUGCGAUAAGCUACGGGGAGCUGUCAAGAAGCUUUGAUCCGUAGAUUUCCGAAUGGGGCAACCCAAUGUAUAGAGAUAUACAUUACCUAUAUAGGAGCGAACGAGGGGAAUUGAAACAUCUUAGUACCCUCAGGAAAAGAAAUCAAUAGAGAUUGCGUCAGUAGCGGCGAGCGAAAGCGCAAGAGGGCAAACCCAGUGCUUGCACUGGGGGUUGUAGGACUGCAAUGUGCAAGAGCUGAGUUUAGCAGAACAUUCUGGAAAGUAUAGCCAUAGAGGGUGAUAGUCCCGUAUGCGAAAAACAAAGCUUAGCUAGCAGUAUCCUGAGUAGGGCGGGACACGAGGAAUCCUGUCUGAAUCCGGGUCGACCACGAUCCAACCCUAAAUACUAAUACCAGAUCGAUAGUGCACAAGUACCGUGAGGGAAAGGUGAAAAGAACUGAGGUGAUCAGAGUGAAAUAGAACCUGAAACCAUUUGCUUACAAUCAUUCAGAGCACUAUGUAGCAAUACAGUGUGAUGGACUGCCUUUUGCAUAAUGAGCCUGCGAGUUGUGGUGUCUGGCAAGGUUAAGCAAACGCGAAGCCGUAGCGAAAGCGAGUCUGAAUAGGGCGCUUAGUCAGAUGCUGCAGACCCGAAACGAAGUGAUCUAUCCAUGAGCAAGUUGAAGCUAGUGUAAGAACUAGUGGAGGACUGAACCCAUAGGCGUUGAAAAGCCCCAGGAUGACUUGUGGAUAGGGGUGAAAGGCCAAUCAAACUUCGUGAUAGCUGGUUCUCUCCGAAAUAUAUUUAGGUAUAGCGUUGUGUCGUAAUAUAAGGGGGUAGAGCACUGAAUGGGCUAGGGCAUACACCAAUGUACCAAACCCUAUCAAACUCCGAAUACCUUAUAUGUAAUCACAGCAGUCAGGCGGCGAGUGAUAAAAUCCGUCGUCAAGAGGGAAACAACCCAGACUACCAGCUAAGGUCCCUAAAUCUUACUUAAGUGGAAAACGAUGUGAAGUUACUUAAACAACCAGGAGGUUGGCUUAGAAGCAGCCAUCCUUUAAAGAAAGCGUAAUAGCUCACUGGUCUAGUGAUUUUGCGCGGAAAAUAUAACGGGGCUAAAGUAAGUACCGAAGCUGUAGACUUGCACACAACUUAGAUUAUUUAAGUUUAGAAUAAGUAGUUUAAGUUGUGUGCAAGUGGUAGGAGAGCGUUCUAUUUGCGUCGAAGGUAUACCGGUAAGGAGUGCUGGAGCGAAUAGAAGUGAGCAUGCAGGCAUGAGUAGCGAUAAUUAAUGUGAGAAUCAUUAACGCCGUAAACCCAAGGUUUCCUACGCGAUGCUCGUCAUCGUAGGGUUAGUCGGGUCCUAAGUCGAGUCCGAAAGGGGUAGACGAUGGCAAAUUGGUUAAUAUUCCAAUACCAACAUUAGUGUGCGAUGGAAGGACGCUUAGGGCUAAGGGGGCUAGCGGAUGGAAGUGCUAGUCUAAGGUCGUAGGAGGUUAUACAGGCAAAUCCGUAUAACAAUACUCCGAGAACUGAAAGGCUUUUUGAAGUCUUCGGAUGGAUAGAAGAACCCCUGAUGCCGUCGAGCCAAGAAAAGUUUCUAAGUUUAGCUAAUGUUGCCCGUACCGUAAACCGACACAGGUGGGUGGGAUGAGUAUUCUAAGGCGCGUGGAAGAACUCUCUUUAAGGAACUCUGCAAAAUAGCACCGUAUCUUCGGUAUAAGGUGUGGUUAGCUUCGUACUAGGAUUUACUCCGAAAGCGAAGAAACUUACAACAAAGAGUCCCUCCCGACUGUUUACCAAAAACACAGCACUCUGCUAACUCGUAAGAGGAUGUAUAGGGUGUGACGCCUGCCCGGUGCUCG